This is a long non-coding RNA of Bombyx mori (domestic silkworm), 1509 nucleotides long. RefSeq lists it as uncharacterized. The record is from RefSeq and is a predicted model, not a curated record. The transcript has 3 exons. Lineage: Eukaryota; Metazoa; Arthropoda; Insecta; Lepidoptera; Bombycidae.
GUUAGUUCAUAUUUGUAUGGAAUGGGAUCGUUUGCGUGCGUUUGCCGCUAGGGGCGCUGUUCCAACUGCAUACAAAAUUGGCUUAACUUUUACGCUAUCGAGACCGUUAAGAAACUCGCACUAAGCACACUGAUGUUAGGCGGUCACUGCCGCUAAUAGACAGUUCGACAUUACUGCCGCCGUCGAAACUGUGCUAUCAGGUCGACGACGCAAUUAAAAUAACAGCCAUCUUACACUUGUAUUUAAUAUGUGAUUAAUGCUUUAGCACUGUGCUAUAGCUAUCGAUAAAAACAGUAAAAAAAGACAAAUGCCAUGUUUACAAAACGAAUUAUUGAAGUGUCACUACAGAUUUCAUUAUUGAUAUAACAAGACAUUGCUGUUCAUAGGAUCAAUUACAAAAUACCACACGAAUAGAAAUAGAAGAGAAAGCGAGCUUAUGACAACGCGGUAAAAAAAAACGCUCUAGAUUUUUUUUAUUGUUUAAAUGGGUGAACGAGCUCAGAGCCCAUCUUAUCUUAAGUGGUUACUGGAGCCCAUAGACAUUUACAACGGAAAUGCGCCACCCACCUUGAGAUAUAAGUUCCAAGGUCUCAAGUACCCCGGCUACAACGGCUGCCCCACCCUUCAAAUCGAAACGCAUUACUGCUUUACGGCAGAAAUAGGCAGGGUGAUGGGACCUACCCGCACGGGCUCAGAAGAGGUCCUACCACCAGUAAUUACACAAAUUAUAAUUAUGCGGGUAUGAUUUUUACUACACGAUGUUAUUCCUUCACCGUGGAAGUCAAUCGUGAACAUUUGUUGAGUACGUAUUUCAUUAGAAAAAUUUGUACCUGCCUGAGAUUCGAACACCGGUGCAUUGCUCAACACGAAUGCACCGGACGUCUUAUCCUUUAGGCCACGACGACUUUCAUUGUUGAUAUAACCAAGACGUUGCUGUUCAUAGGAUUACUUACAAAAUACCACACGAAUAGAGAGAGAAGAAAAAGCGAUCUUAUGACAACGCGUGUCCUGUUGAAUCCCUAUCCCCGCGCUACCUUCAGGAACGUUUUGAUUUCCUACAUACUGCAAACUCCCAUUCACUUAGGUCAUCGGAGAAUUUAAUGCUGAAGUUUCCGGCUCACGGGACGUCAUUUUGUGAACAUUCCUUUACGGUUGAAGCAGUCCGUUUAUGGAAUACACUACCCUUAAGCAUCAAACAAUCGUCCUCGCCGGAAAUUGUCAAGUUCAGAUUAAAAUCGCGCUACCUUGCACAAUAAUAUGGUUGUGCUAUUACCUGGAACCACCAGCGCCGGCGAGCGACAGCAGAGAGGAGCAGCGAGAGCAGACGGAGGGCGCGCGGAGUCGGUUGUGAGCCCUAAUCGGUUCGGGAACCUUCUCCCGGUCCGUCAGUGCGAGGACUGUCGAACAUUUCCUCAAGCCUGUAACAAAAUCCCAAUCUUAAAUUUCUACAACAAUAACUAAUAAAAUUACUAAUAAAGAAAUAAUAACUAAUAAAUAAUAAAAUUAUAA